UUAGAGGAAGUAAAAGUCGUAACAAGGUUUCCGUAGGUGAACCUGCGGAAGGAUCAUUAUUGAAAUAAACUGAUGAGUUGCUGCUGGUUCUCUAGGGAGCAUGUGCACGCUUGUCAUCUUUAUAUCUCCACCUGUGCACCUUUUGUAGACCUGGAUAUCUGUCUGAAUGCUAGCCAUUCAGGAUUGAGGAUUGACUUUCAUGUCUUUUCCUUACAUUUCCAGGCCUAUGUUUCUUCAUAUACCCCAAUGUAUGUCAUAGAAUGUAAUCAAUGGCCUUUGUGCCUAUAAACCUAUACAACUUUCAGCAACGGAUCUCUUGGCUCUCGCAUCGAUGAAGAACGCAGCGAAAUGCGAUAAGUAAUGUGAAUUGCAGAAUUCAGUGAAUCAUCGAAUCUUUGAACGCACCUUGCGCUCCUUGGUAUUCCGAGGAGCAUGCCUGUUUGAGUGUCAUUAAUAUAUCAACCUCUUCAGCUUUUGCUUGUUGAGUGUUGGAUGUGGGGGUCUUUUUUUGCUGGUCUUCUCAGGUCAGCUCCCCUGAAAUGCAUUAGCGGAACAAUUUGUGGACCGUUCAUUGGUGUGAUAAUUAUCUACGCUAUUGACGUGAAGCAGUUCAGCUUCAAACAGUCCAUUGACUUGGACAAAUUUUUAUUAAUGUGACCUCAAAUCAGGUAGGACUACCCGCUGAACUUAAGCAUAU
RNAcentral lists this ribosomal RNA (697 nucleotides) under Phlegmacium flavescentipes. RNAcentral describes it as "eukaryotic LSU rRNA". The stretch from base 297 to 450 matches the Rfam family "5.8S ribosomal RNA". The record is from RNAcentral. Lineage: Eukaryota; Fungi; Basidiomycota; Agaricomycetes; Agaricales; Cortinariaceae.